Molecule: ribosomal RNA, 621 nt
Filed under: Staphylococcus aureus
Lineage: Bacteria; Bacillati; Bacillota; Bacilli; Caryophanales; Staphylococcaceae
Description: partial 23S ribosomal RNA
Rfam family: Bacterial large subunit ribosomal RNA
Source: RNAcentral
UAAGGGCGCACGGUGGAUGCCUUGGCACUAGAAGCCGAUGAAGGACGUUACUAACGACGAUAUGCUUUGGGGAGCUGUAAGUAAGCUUUGAUCCAGAGAUUUCCGAAUGGGGAAACCCAGCAUGAGUUAUGUCAUGUUAUCGAUAUGUGAAUACAUAGCAUAUCAGAAGGCACACCCGGAGAACUGAAACAUCUUAGUACCCGGAGGAAGAGAAAGAAAAUUCGAUUCCCUUAGUAGCGGCGAGCGAAACGGGAAGAGCCCAAACCAACAAGCUUGCUUGUUGGGGUUGUAGGACACUCUAUACGGAGUUACAAAGGACGACAUUAGACGAAUCAUCUGGAAAGAUGAAUCAAAGAAGGUAAUAAUCCUGUAGUCGAAAAUGUUGUCUCUCUUGAGUGGAUCCUGAGUACGACGGAGCACGUGAAAUUCCGUCGGAAUCUGGGAGGACCAUCUCCUAAGGCUAAAUACUCUCUAGUGACCGAUAGUGAACCAGUACCGUGAGGGAAAGGUGAAAAGCACCCCGGAAGGGGAGUGAAAUAGAACCUGAAACCGUGUGCUUACAAGUAGUCAGAGCCCGUUAAUGGGUGAUGGCGUGCCUUUUGUAGAAUGAACCGGCGAGUU